This 494-nucleotide ribosomal RNA is filed under the name uncultured bacterium. RNAcentral describes it as "partial 16S ribosomal RNA". It matches the Rfam family "Bacterial small subunit ribosomal RNA", at positions 28 to 507 of the family's 1533-position model. The record is from RNAcentral.
GACGAACGCUGGCGGCGUGCUUAACACAUGCAAGUCGAACGGUGAAGCGCCUUCCUUUUUGGUGGGUGUGGAUGAGUGGCGAACGGGUGAGUAACACGUGAGUAACCUGCCCCCUUCUUCUGGAUAACCGCAUGAAAGUGUGGCUAAUACGGGAUAUUCUGGGUCUGUCGCAUGAUGGGUCUGGGAAAGAUAUUGUUUCGGUGGGGGAUGGGCUCGCGGCCUAUCAGCUUGUUGGUGGGGUGAUGGCCUACCAAGGCGGUGACGGGUAGCCGGCCUGAGAGGGCGGACGGUCACACUGGGACUGAGACACGGCCCAGACUCCUACGGGAGGCAGCAGUGGGGAAUAUUGCACAAUGGGCGCAAGCCUGAUGCAGCGACGCCGCGUGAGGGAUGGAGGCCUUCGGGUUGUGAACCUCUUUCGCCAGUGAAGCAGGCCUGCCUCGUUUGUGGGUGGGUUGACGGUAGCUGGAUAAGAAGCGCCGGCUAACUACGUG